UUGCUGUCUGGAUUAGUUUUCCUGUC
RNAcentral lists this non-coding RNA (26 nucleotides) under Rattus norvegicus (Norway rat). Lineage: Eukaryota; Metazoa; Chordata; Mammalia; Rodentia; Muridae. The record is from RNAcentral.